Zalophus californianus (California sea lion) is the source of this 103-nucleotide small nucleolar RNA. The record is from Ensembl. Lineage: Eukaryota; Metazoa; Chordata; Mammalia; Carnivora; Otariidae.
AUCCAUUUGUGGUUCAUAAGAGUGACGACUGGGUGUUCAUGCCAUUGUGGGACAUAUGCCUUUCCCAAACCUUAUUACAACCUUGGCAUGUUACUGCCUGAUG